UGGGGAAUAUUGCACAAUGGGCGCAAGCCUGAUGCAGCCAUGCCGCGUGUGUGAAGAAGGCCUUCGGGUUGUAAAGCACUUUCAGUCGUGAGGAAGGUAGUGUAGUUAAUAGCUGCAUUAUUUGACGUUAGCGACAGAAGAAGCACCGGCUAACUCCGUGCCAGCAGCCGCGGUAAUACGGAGGGUGCGAGCGUUAAUCGGAAUUACUGGGCGUAAAGCGCAUGCAGGUGGUUUGUUAAGUCAGGUGUGAAAGCCCGGGGCUCAACCUCGGAAUAGCAUUUGAAACUGGCAGACUAGAGUACUGUAGAGGGGGGUAGAAUUUCAGGUGUAGCGGUGAAAUGCGUAGAGAUCUGAAGGAAUACCGGUGGCGAAGGCGGCCCCCUGGACAGAUACUGACACUCAGAUGCGAAAGCGUGGGGAGCAA
Molecule: ribosomal RNA, 424 nt
Filed under: uncultured bacterium
Lineage: Bacteria
Description: bacterial SSU rRNA
Rfam family: Bacterial small subunit ribosomal RNA
Source: RNAcentral